This is a long non-coding RNA of Octopus sinensis (East Asian common octopus), 1174 nucleotides long. RefSeq lists it as uncharacterized. The transcript is spliced from 3 exons. The record is from RefSeq and is a predicted model, not a curated record. Lineage: Eukaryota; Metazoa; Mollusca; Cephalopoda; Octopoda; Octopodidae.
GAUUCUGCCAUCUCGCUGCCUUAAAGGUUGAUAAAAUAAGUACCAGCUGAGUACUGGGGUUGAUGUAAUCGACUUACCCCCUUCCCUGAACUUGCUGGCCUAGUGCCAAAAUUUGAAAUCAGUAUUACACUAAUCACAAAACAUUACUUUUCAGGACUGUUUUGUGGACAGAAUAUACAUGGAGUGGCAAAUAUUUUAGCUGCUUCGUCUUACCUGUACUUACCUGUAUGGGCGGGCAGAAAACUUGAGAAUUACCUGAAAUAUAAAACAUGGAAUGGAUCGAAUCUCGGUAAUCGUUAAAACCGACUCUAUGGAUAAAACCAGUGUUGCCAUCACAAUGUCUCUUGGCAUUUUUCACUAAAUUUGACUGUGAACAAUAUUUACUCAUUCUCUCUAAUAUGAAGAAAUUUCCCCCCAUUCUAUGUUAGCAAUAUGGGCUAAACAUGUGUAUCAUAUAAGAGAUAUUUUGAGAGACGUGUUGCAGUGUCCAUGUCUCUACCCACAAGACGAUUGAGACAACAGCAAUAGCUAAUUUGAAAAUGAUAUAGCUAAAUCUAUCAGACUAAUGUAAUCAACAACCAAUCAUUGAAAUAGAUUUAAGUAUCUCUUAUUUUAUAUAAGUAGUAUUACUGGCCUUGUGGCCCAGUGGAUAAGGGGGGUUGGUUACAAACAAAACAGUGGUGUAGAUGGAGGUUCCAGUUUCAGGUAGGGACUGUGAUAGGAUUUUAUUUUGUUUUAUUUUUUCUGUAAAUGGAAAAAAAAAAAUUUGAAUACUUUUACAAAGAUUGAACCUUUAUCCAAGGGGUAUAUGUGUGAUGCUGUGUCCAAGUCUUUACCCACAAGACCAUUGAGACAACAGCAAUUACUCAUGUGAAAAUAAUCUAUUUAAACCUAUCAGACUAAUGUAAUCAAUAACCAGUCAUUAGAAUAAAUUUGAAUAUAUCAUAUGUUGUGUAAGUAGUAUUACUAGCUUUGCGGAUAAGGGUGGUUGGUGAUAGACAAAACUGUGGGGUAGAUGGGGGUUUCGGGUAGGGAUUGUGAUAUGAUCAUACUUACUUUUUAUUUUUCUCUAGAGAUGUGUAGAGGGGGAAGAAAGAAAAAACCACAAUCAGUAUAGGCCAUGGGCCAAGAUUGAUCCUUUGUCCAAGGGGUAUAUGUGUUGCUAUGUCUUUAU